RNAcentral lists this ribosomal RNA (253 nucleotides) under uncultured bacterium. RNAcentral's name for it is "partial 16S ribosomal RNA". It matches the Rfam family "Bacterial small subunit ribosomal RNA", at positions 524 to 776 of the family's 1533-position model. The record is from RNAcentral.
UACAGAGGUCUCAAGCGUUGUUCGGAUUCAUUGGGCGUAAAGGGUGCGUAGGCGGUCGUGCAAGUCGGAUGUGAAAUCUCGGGGCUCAACCCCGAAACUGCAUUCGAUACUGCGUGGCUCGAGUACUGGAGAGGAGACUGGAAUUUACGGUGUAGCAGUGAAAUGCGUAGAUAUCGUAAGGAAGACCAGUGGCGAAGGCGAGUCUCUGGACAGUUACUGACGCUGAGGAGCGAAAGCGUGGGGAGCGAACAGG